AUGUAUAAGUAUAAGAUUUGAAUCGUGAAACCGCGAACGGCUCAUUAUAACAGCUAUGAUCUACUUGAUCUUGACACUCCUACUUGGAUAACUGUGGUAAUUCUAGAGCUAAUACAUGCAGAAAAACUCGGCGUCUCCUCACGGGGACAAUGAGCGCAUUUAUUGGAUUAAAACUAAUUUGUGGUGCGCAAGCAUCGCAAUUCGUUGACUCAGAAUAACUAAGCUGAUCGCAUGGCCUCGUGCCGGCGACGUGUCUUUCGAGUAUCUGCCUUAUCAACUUUCGAUGGUAGUGUAUUUGACUACCAUGGUGGUGACGGGUAACGGAGGAUAAGGGUUCGACUCCGGAGAAGGGGCCUGAGAAAUGGCCACUACGUCUAAGGAUGGCAGCAGGCGCGCAAAUUACCCACUCUCGGUACGCUGAGGAGGUAGUGAUGAAAAAUAACGAAGGUGUCCCCUCACGGGGUCAUCGAUCGGAAUGGGUACAAUCUAAAACCUUUAACGAUUAACAAUGAGAGGGCAAGUCUGGUGCCAGCAGCCGCGGUAAUUCCAGCUCUCAAAAUGCAUAGAUACAUUGCUGCGGUUAAAAAGCUCGUAGUUGGAUCUGUGUCCGGGAUGCGGGGUCCACUCUUCGGAGUGCGUACUCUUGCCAUCUCGGCUUCAAUGUCGGCUUCGCGUGUCGUAGUCUUAAGUGAUUGCGUGCACGUGGGCUGGCGAGUACUUUGAACAAAUGAGUGCUCCAAACAGGCGUUUACGCUUGAAUGUUCGUGCAUGGAAUAAUAGAAGAGGAUUUCGGUUCUUGUUUUGUUGGUUUUAAUGGAUCGAGAUAAUGGUUAACAGAGACAAACGGGGGCAUUCGUACUUCUGCGUGAGAGGUGAAAUUCUUGGACCGCAGAAAGACGCACUACAGCGAARGCAUUUGCCAAGAAUGUCUUCAUUAAUCAAGAACGAAAGCCAGAGGAUCGAAGGCGAUCAGAUACCGCCCUAGUUCUGGCCGUAAACGAUGCCAACUAGCGAUCUGUCGGUGGUGUUUUUUCGCCCUGAUAGGGAGCUUCCCGGAAACGAAAGUCUUCCGGUUCCGGGGGAAGUAUGGUUGCAAAGCUGAAACUUAAAGGAAUUGACGGAAGGGCACCACCAGGAGUGGAGCCUGCGGCUUAAUUUGACUCAACACGGGAAACCUCACCCGGGCCGGACACCGUAAGGAUUGACAAAUUGAUAGCUUUUUCAUGAUUCGGUGGAUGGUGGUGCAUGGCCGUUCUUAGUUCGUGGAGCGAUUUGUCUGGUUUAUUCCGAUAACGAGCGAGACUCUAGCCUACUAAAUAGUUGACACAUUCCAUUGUGUGUCCCCAACUUCUUAGAGGGAUUUGCGUGCGUAUAGCCGCAAGAGAAUGAGCAAUAACAGGUCUGUGAUGCCCUUAGAUGUCCGGGGCUGCACGCGCGCUACACUGGUAGAAUCAACGAGUUUGCGCGCUUCGGCGUGUUCCUCCAUCGAAAGAUCGGGGGUAAACCAUUGAAAAUCUGCCGUGAUUGGGAUCGGGAAUUGAAAUUAUUUUCCGUGAACGAGGAAUUCCAAGUAAGUGCGGGUCAUUAACUCGCGUUGAUUACGUCCCUGCCCUUUGUACACACCGCCCGUCGCUACCCGGGACUGAGUUAUUUCGAGAAAUUUGAGGAUUGGUGUUGUCGGGAGCUGCUUUCGAGUGGUGCCCACCUCGCCGAGAAACAACUUAAUCGAAGUGGCUUGAACCGGGU
Molecule: ribosomal RNA, 1746 nt
Filed under: Irantylenchus vicinus
Lineage: Eukaryota; Metazoa; Nematoda; Chromadorea; Rhabditida; Tylenchidae
Description: SSU rRNA
Rfam family: Eukaryotic small subunit ribosomal RNA
Source: RNAcentral